UAGGGAAUCUUCCACAAUGGACGCAAGUCUGAUGGAGCAACGCCGCGUGAGUGAAGAAGGUUUUCGGAUCGUAAAGCUCUGUUGUUGGUGAAGAAGGAUAGAGGCAGUAACUGGUCUUUAUUUGACGGUAAUCAACCAGAAAGUCACGGCUAACUACGUGCCAGCAGCCGCGGUAAUACGUAGGUGGCAAGCGUUGUCCGGAUUUAUUGGGCGUAAAGCGAGCGCAGGCGGAAUGAUAAGUCUGAUGUGAAAGCCCACGGCUCAACCGUGGAACUGCAUCGGAAACUGUCAUUCUUGAGUGCAGAAGAGGAGAGUGGAAUUCCAUGUGUAGCGGUGGAAUGCGUAGAUAUAUGGAAGAACACCAGUGGCGAAGGCGGAUCUCUGGUCUGCAACUGACGCUGAGGCUCGAAAGCAUGGGUAGCGAACAGG
RNAcentral lists this ribosomal RNA (429 nucleotides) under bacterium. Its description in RNAcentral is "partial 16S ribosomal RNA". It matches the Rfam family "Bacterial small subunit ribosomal RNA", at positions 355 to 776 of the family's 1533-position model. The record is from RNAcentral.